RNAcentral lists this ribosomal RNA (484 nucleotides) under uncultured bacterium. RNAcentral describes it as "partial 16S ribosomal RNA". It matches the Rfam family "Bacterial small subunit ribosomal RNA", at positions 30 to 507 of the family's 1533-position model. The record is from RNAcentral.
AUUGAACGCUGGCGGCAGGCCUAACACACGCAAGUCGAGCGGAUGAAGGGAGCUUGCUCCUGGAUUCAGCGGCGGACGGGUGAGUAAUGCCUAGGAAUCUGCCUGGUAGUGGGGGAUAACGUCCGGAAACGGGCGCUAAUACCGCAUACGUCCUGAGGGAGAAAGUGGGGGAUCUUCGGACCUCACGCUAUCAGAUGAGCCUAGGUCGGAUUAGCUAGUUGGUGGGGUAAAGGCCUACCAAGGCGACGAUCCGUAACUGGUCUGAGAGGAUGAUCAGUCACACUGGAACUGAGACACGGUCCAGACUCCUACGGGAGGCAGCAGUGGGGAAUAUUGGACAAUGGGCGAAAGCCUGAUCCAGCCAUGCCGCGUGUGUGAAGAAGGUCUUCGGAUUGUAAAGCACUUUAAGUUGGGAGAAAGGGCAGUAAGUUAAUACCUUGCUGUUUUGACGUUACCAACAGAAUAAGCACCGGCUAACUUCGUG